AGGCGGAAGGCCAAAAAAGGGCAUUUGAGGGAGUUAGGCCUGCUAAGCCGAAGUGCGCUCCGGGAUUUCUUGACUUUAUUUCGUCAAUGUUGAGAAAAACUUUUUAUAUCUCAAAAUAUCGUUAGAAAAGGAAGUCCCAGCGCUCGGAGGCUUAGCUGACAAAGAAGGGGGUUGCGUGGCUGCGAGUCUCAGAACUACUGUUUGGGAGCCCCAAAACCACUGCUGGCACCCGCGCCGCACGGGCGCCCAAUUCCUCCCCUGGUAGGUAACGCGGAAGAGCCGGGAGGGUGGCGGCCUCAGGGCGCAGGAUCGGGCAAACCUGUCGCUCAGAAGCUCGGCUACCGAAAAGCAGAAUGGCCACGCGUUGUAGACGGAAGCCUGCAGUCUCAGCAUCCAGGCUGGAGGCAGUAAAGAUUGCUGCUAGAGCAUGGAAACCCCGAAACCGCGGAUUUUGCCCUGGCUGGUGUCACAGCUGGACCUGGGGCAGCUGGAAGGCGUGGCCUGGCUGGACGAGAGCCGAACGAGGUUCAGGAUCCCGUGGAAGCAUGGCCUACGGCAGGACGCACAGAUGGCUGACUUUGGCAUCUUCCAGGCCUGGGCAGAAGCCAGUGGUGCCUACACCCCGGGGAAGGAUAAGCCGGACGUGUCAACCUGGAAGAGGAAUUUCCGGUCAGCCCUGAACCGGAAAGAAGUGUUGCGGUUAGCUGCUGACAAUAGCAAGGACCCUUAUGACCCUCAUAAAGUGUAUGAGUUUGUGACUCCAGGGGCGCGGGACUUCGUACAUCUGGGUGCCUCUCCUGACACCAAUGGCAAAAGCAGCCUGCCUCACUCCCAGGAAAACCUACCGAAGUUAUUUGAUGGCCUGAUCUUGGGGCCCCUCAAAGAUGAGGGGUCCUCAGAUCUGGCUAUUGUUUCUGAUCCUUCUCAACAACUGCCAAGCCCCAAUGUGAACAACUUCCUAAACCCUGCACCCCAAGAAAAUCCACUGAAGCAGCUGCUAGCUGAGGAACAAUGGGAGUUCGAGGUGACCGCCUUCUACCGAGGCCGCCAGGUCUUCCAGCAGACACUCUUUUGCCCGGGGGGCCUGCGGCUGGUGGGCAGCACAGCUGACAUGACACUGCCCUGGCAGCCAGUCACCCUGCCCGAUCCUGAGGGGUUUCUGACGGACAAGCUUGUGAAGGAGUACGUGGGGCAGGUGCUCAAAGGGCUGGGCAAUGGGCUGGCACUGUGGCAGGCUGGGCAGUGCCUCUGGGCCCAGCGCCUAGGCCACUCCCACGCCUUCUGGGCUCUGGGGGAGGAGCUGCUUCCAGACAGUGGGCGAGGGCCUGAUGGAGAGGUCCACAAGGACAAGGACGGAGCCGUGUUCGACCUCAGGCCCUUCGUGGCAGAUCUGAUUGCCUUCAUGGAAGGAAGUGGACACUCCCCACGCUACACUCUGUGGUUCUGCAUGGGGGAAAUGUGGCCCCAGGACCAGCCAUGGGUCAAGAGGCUUGUGAUGGUCAAGGUUGUUCCUACAUGUCUUAAGGAGCUGUUAGAGAUGGCCCGGGAAGGGGGAGCCUCUUCACUGAAAACCGUGGACUUGCACAUCUCCAACAGCCAGCCUAUCUCCCUUACCUCUGACCAGUACAAGGCCUACCUCCAGGACUUGGUGGAGGACAUGGACUUCCAGGCCACUGGAAAUAUCUGAGCCCCACUCAGCUGCUACCAAUAAAGCAGUUUAUGCCGCCAUCACAUCUGCUGUCGACUGCGUCUAGGCUGGUGGUUAUUCUACAAGGCUCAGUCUUCCCAUCUGCAGCUGAGGUCUAGGUGCUCCAGGAGGGAGGCACAGGGACAAAACACAGCAUGGCUGCCAAGGUCGUGGAGAAAGUAUCACAAAGAAAGCAAGGACAAGACAGGUCCAGAGCUGCACACACAUUGUCCCUACGUGGAGCAAGGGACACUGUCACAGGUGGUGAUGGUUGGCAACCGGCAAGCUUGCUGUGGGGCGGGCGGGCUGACUCACCACCACGGACUGAGUCACUGCAGCCCCACAGUGCUACUGAUACCAGAGGCCACUCGGGUGAUGCUCAAGGCUGGACCCUGCCUCCUGUUACCCCCAUAUCCCCACAUUCCUAAGUCUGGUGUGACACCAUCAUGGUUCCCCACUCACACACCCCAACUCUUUCCUCCUGAAAAAAAGCAUUUCAUGA
Mus musculus (house mouse) is the source of this 2189-nucleotide RNA transcript. It is a transcript of the gene named interferon regulatory factor 3, with no coding region annotated. NCBI's taxonomy places the organism in Eukaryota, Metazoa, Chordata, Mammalia, Rodentia, Muridae. The transcript has 8 exons. The record is from RefSeq and is marked validated.